RNAcentral lists this ribosomal RNA (497 nucleotides) under uncultured bacterium. RNAcentral's name for it is "partial 16S ribosomal RNA". It matches the Rfam family "Bacterial small subunit ribosomal RNA", at positions 28 to 507 of the family's 1533-position model. The record is from RNAcentral.
GAUGAACGCUGGCGGCGUGCCUAAUACAUGCAAGUCGAGCGAACGGACGAGAAGCUUGCUUCUCUGAGGUUAGCGGCGGACGGGUGAGUAACACGUGGAUAACCUACCUAUAAGACUGGGAUAACUUCGGGAAACCGGAGCUAAUACCGGAUGAUAUUUUGAACCUCAUGGUUCAAAAGUGAAAGAAGGUCUUGCUGUCGCUUAUAGAUGGAUCCGCGCUGCAUUAGCUAGUUGGUAAGGUAACGGCUUACCAAGGCAACGAUGCAUAGCCGGCCUGAGAGGGUGAUCGGCCACACUGGAACUGAGACACGGUCCAGACUCCUACGGGAGGCAGCAGUAGGGAAUCUUCCGCAAUGGGCGAAAGCCUGACGGAGCAACGCCGCGUGAGUGAUGAAGGUCUUCGGAUCGUAAAACUCUGUUAUUAGGGAAGAACAUAUGUGUAAGUAACUGUGCACAUCUUGACGGUACCUAAUCAGAAAGCCACGGCUAACUACGUG